Molecule: transfer RNA, 89 nt
Filed under: Candidatus Acetothermia bacterium
Lineage: Bacteria; Candidatus Bipolaricaulota
Also listed under: 2 other names
Description: tRNA-Leu
Rfam family: tRNA
About the family: Transfer RNA (tRNA) molecules are approximately 80 nucleotides in length. Their secondary structure includes four short double-helical elements and three loops (D, anti-codon, and T loops).
Source: RNAcentral
GCCGAGGUGGCGGAAUUGGCAGACGCGCUGUCUUGAGGGGGCAGUGGGCUUUAAGGCCCGUGUGGGUUCAAAUCCCACCCUCGGCACCA